UAUCUCCUCUCACUCCUUGCUGGGAUCCAGAUGUAGGAGCACAGGACACUAGGGCUGCAAUGUGUCCCCAGCAGCUGUCAGAGGUUUCCGACGGGAGGAGGGAGGCAGACUACCCUCCUUGCCCAUGGCGAGGCGCCUUUGGGAGGAGGAGGAGGAAGAGCAAGGGUCUCCAACAGCGAACCUUUGUCCCGGAAUGCAGAUGAGCCAGCGCGCGGCGGCGCUAGGACAAUGCCCGCCCAGUCCUCGCCGCGCCCCGAUCCAUCUGCGGCUAUUUUGUUAACCCGAUGUUUCUUACAUUCUUUCUCUCACGCAGAAUGCUUGAUGUUGACAGCUGUGAAUUUUAAACAACCAUUCUGGGAUCCUGCUGCUCAUGAGGUGUCUCUCUCUGAAGCCUCUGUAACUACAGUGAAUGUUUCUGGUUAGCCUUCAAUUAACCAGAAAAUCAGAUUAAUUGUGCAUGAACUCCUAUGUCCAGGACCAGUCUGACCCAUAGAAGAUGCAAAUCGGGGUAAAAGCACCGAGCUCCAAACCAUCGUGAAAGGGGCUGUCGACUGAGAAGAGGUAACAGCUGCUCCGUGGCAAUUAAGCAGCAGUUUCUGUUGCUGAAGGAGAUUAUUUUGGAUGGCGUAAAGAGAUUCAAAUAAAAAUGUCAACGUGCCCAUUAUGGAUGAAAGCUAGAAAAACUUAAGUGGCCCUGAAUUAAUCACUACUUGACAGGAAGGCACGUAAACGAGUACUAAAAAAAUCCCCCCGCAAAUCUAUUUUCCUGCCUUUUUGGUAAUUGUAAAGAAGCUGGUUGGGGAGUGGGGAGGGCUUUUCUUGGCUGCAACCUUAAUUCAUCUUGGAGUGAAGAUUUAAUGACAAAGUUACAAGCCCUUAAAGUACCAUUUAUUGAGGGGCUAAUGAGAGUUCCUAAGAGCUCCGUAAAAACAGAGAAGCAGCCACCGACACAAGAGGCCUUUGAAAAUACCGAAGAGAGGGGAGUUCAUUAGCCUUUUUUCCCCGUUUUCUCCUCCUUCUUCUCCUUCCCCUUUCUCAACAAUGAACGUUUCUGCUGCCAAACCUUCAGGAAUCGGGUUGGUUUCCUUUCAAGUAAUUGAUGCAGGCUUUGCUUGUGCAUUAGACAGCCUCUCCGACAAGAGGCAGGAAAUCUCACCGUCAAAGGGAAGCUGCGCAUUCCUUCCUCCCUGGCUGGCUCGGCCCCUCUCACACACUGGAUUUGCGCUGCCCUUGCCAAAACCCCUCCGAUUUCCACGGCCUCCCAUGGCUAAGAUAACGAAUGCUGCUCUCGGGCUCUGAGAGCUGCGCUUAUUUUAAAACUCCAGCUAUGCUGCAACAAAACCGGCUGCUGUCACCCCAAAUCGAGCAAAUGAGCCCCUGUCCUCCGGCAUAAAGGCUGAGAGACUUAUUGAAUGUCCCCCGCGGAGAAAGCCCCAUUCACCCUGACCGCACUGGGAACCUCUGAACCCUCCCGCUUCCCUCAGCCUUCAGCCCAGGAGCACAGGAAAGAAUCCUUGGGCUGGGCUGUUCCAAACAGAUCAAGUUUUCUUAAGUCAGGAUUUUUUUUUUUUUUUUUUUUU
Long non-coding RNA from Chinchilla lanigera (long-tailed chinchilla), 1580 nucleotides. RefSeq lists it as uncharacterized. The transcript has 4 exons. NCBI's taxonomy places the organism in Eukaryota, Metazoa, Chordata, Mammalia, Rodentia, Chinchillidae. The record is from RefSeq and is a predicted model, not a curated record.